AUUGAACGCUGGCGGCAUGCUUUACACAUGCAAGUCGAACGGUAACAGGCCUUCGGGUGCUGGCGAGUGGCGAACGGGUGAGUAAUGCAUCGGGACGUACCCAGAGGUGGGGGAUAACGCAGCGAAAGCUGUGCUAAUACCGCAUGUGAUCUGAGGAUGAAAGCGGGGGACCGAGCAGCAAUGUUUGGCCUCGCGCCUUUGGAGCGGCCGAUGUCGGAUUAGCUAGUUGGUGGGGUAAAGGCCUACCAAGGCGACGAUCCGUAGCUGGUCUGAGAGGACGACCAGCCACACUGGGACUGAGACACGGCCCAGACUCCUACGGGAGGCAGCAGUGGGGAAUUUUGGACAAUGGGCGCAAGCCUGAUCCAGCAAUGCCGCGUGCGGGAAGAAGGCCUUCGGGUUGUAAACCGCUUUUGGCAGGAACGAAACGGUGUCCGCUAAUACCGGGCGCUAAUGACGGUACCUGCAGAAUAAGCACCGGCUAACUACG
Molecule: ribosomal RNA, 490 nt
Filed under: uncultured bacterium
Lineage: Bacteria
Description: partial 16S ribosomal RNA
Rfam family: Bacterial small subunit ribosomal RNA
Source: RNAcentral